RNAcentral lists this ribosomal RNA (433 nucleotides) under uncultured bacterium. RNAcentral describes it as "partial 16S ribosomal RNA". It matches the Rfam family "Bacterial small subunit ribosomal RNA", at positions 29 to 507 of the family's 1533-position model. The record is from RNAcentral.
AACGAACGCUGGCGGCAUGCCUAACACAUGCAAGUCGAACGAGAUCUUCGGAUCUAGUGGCGCACGGGUGCGUAACGCGUGGGAAUCUGCCCUUGGGUUCGGAAUAACUCAGAGAAAUUUGAGCUAAUACCGGAUGAUGUCGAAAGACCAAAGAUUUAUCGCCCAGGGAUGAGCCCGCGUAGGAUUAGCUAGUUGGUGGGGUAAAGGCCUACCAAGGCGACGAUCCUUAGCUGGUCUGAGAGGAUGAUCAGCCACACUGGGACUGAGACACGGCCCAGACUCCUACGGGAGGCAGCAGUGGGGAAUAUUGGAAAAUGGGCGAAGGCAUGAUCCAGCAAGGCCGCGUGAGUGAUGAAGGCCUGAGGGUUGUAAAGCUCUUUUACCCGGGAUGAUAAUGACAGUACCGGGAGAAUAAGCCCCGGCUAACUCCGUG